CCAUGAGUUCUUGCUGCUGCUAAAAACAGCAUGAAGAAAAAAGGCACAGACGCUCACGGUAGUUUUGGUCGUUUAUUGUGGUUUAUGACACUUGAAGCAGACAUUAUUUAGACUGACAGGACAUGAUGGCUGAUUGUGAGAAUGUUGAGCUGCCAAACACAGCUGGUCGUAACCUGAAGCAAUGGCUUCAGGAACAAUUCGGCAACAGGCCUCUGGAACAGGCUGAGGACAUGCGUCUACAUAACGCUGCCCAUUUGGGAGAUCUAGACACUCUCAGGACUCUGCUACAAGAAGACAUCUUCAAACAGGGAAUUAAUGAGAAGUUGAUUUGGUCAUGUGGUUUGCUGCCCUGCACGCCCCUGCGUAUUGCUGCCAUGAUGGGUCACAGCAAAUGUGUGGAGUUCCUGAUCUCUCAGGGAGCUAAAGUGGACCUGGUGGAUGUAAAGGGUCAGACUGCUAUGUUCAUGGCUGUGGUUAAUGGACAUCUGGACUGUGUGAAGAUUCUUCUGAAAGCCGGUGCUGAUCCGAAUGGCAGCAUUCAUCACCGAAGCACACCCUUAUACCAUGCUGCACAAGUGGGCCGAGUGGACAUCCUACGAGAGCUGAUCAGGUUCAAUGCUGAUGUUGAUAUUGACCACCGGCUGGAACAGAGGGCUAUGUUCGGCACGCGCACUUUAGCAAAUCUGUCAGUCUGUCCGCUGUUCAUUAGCGCUGCUUACCACCACUUCCCCUGCUUCCGGAUUCUUCUGAAUGCCGGGGCCAACCCGAACUACAACUACAAUGGCCCCGUGAGCAGGGAAGCACUGGUCAGGGGCCGGGCCUCCUGUGUGCUGGAUGCCGUUCUGAAACUCGGAUGCGAACCAGCCUUUGUUCGCUUACUGCUGGACCAUGGCGCUGACCCGUAUCUAGUCCCCUGGGACGAGCUCGAUCCUGAAACCAUGGUUCGCUUAAAGGUCAACGCUGAAGCCCUGCGAAUCUACCAGGAGGCCAAAAGAAACCCGAGGAGAUUGAUGCACCUCUGCCGCAUUACAAUCCGGAAGAUCAUGGGCAAGGAGCGUCUGUCAUGUAUCUCUUCCCUUGAGCUGCCAGAAACCAUCAAAAGAUUUAUGUUUCACGAGGAUUGAUGUUUAGCUUCUCCAUGGAGAUGGUCGAUUAACUCGAGGGUGUAAAUGGCCACUCGCUCCUCAGCAUUACUUACAUGGAAACCGAUGACUUCCAAGGUAAUGGCACUUUUCUAUGUUGGUUUUAGGGGGAAAUCUGUGGUGAGAAAUGGAGCUGAGAAUACUACACUCUUAUUCACAGGAAGUGAUUUAUACUUCCUGUAAGAUGGAUCCUGUCUUCACAGAGGCCCUGCCCACAAGUUUCUCAGGGAUCUUAGAAGAUAUCAUAUUGAACUAUCAUAUCUCACCAUCAUAUAAUGGCCUCUGAUGUGCACCGAUUCCACUGAGGUUUUCUACCAUAUCGCUGAUUUCCCAGGCUUCAUCCAUCAGGAUCACUCUCUGGGUACAACUGGCUUUUUUCCUUGUCAGACUAUAACAUAGUGUGCUGUGACAUUAAAACCACAUCUUGCUGAAAACCACAAACUGGAAAGCAAAGCCUGGGAAAGGCUGGAUUCUGCCAAUGAAUCACCAGUGGACUCGUAGAGAACUGGUCCCUCUAUCUCUGUCUGCCCAAUGGGGGAAAGCGGAACUGGAAAGAGGCCACUUAGAAACCCCAAAACUCUAAGAGCAGGAUGCAUGUCCAGAUUGCGUCUUAGCUCCACCCCCUUAGGAUGCGAGGGAAAAAUACACCUGUGUGUCCUCGCUCAUGACCCCUCAGGAAGCUUCCUUGCCUCCUCGCAGUGCAGUUAGAGAAUUGAGAUGCCCUUUAUGAUGGCUGAGUUCAUUCGGUUCCCGGGUCACGAGAUAGAGGAUGGAGGAGCGAGGAAACGAGGAAGCAUCAAUUUGAGUUUUGAGAAACACCGAAAUCACUUUCUUGAGUUGGUAUUUAUUUUGAAUAGAGUGCAUUCUGGGAUUGGCGUGUCCUCCAACAGUCGAACCCCUUCAUCUUUACAGAAUUCAGGCUGCAGCAGGAAGUUAAGGACAGAUCUUCAGGAACUAGAGAAACAGCUGGUCACUGGCCUGGACUUUGCGUGCUCCCCAGGCCUGUGAUCUCAUUCGCACGAUGGACGUCCCUUGACGUGGCGAAACAGCAUCUGACUUUUCGUUCAUCACUAAAUCAAGCUGAUGAUCAGGAGCAAGUCCAAACAGCACACAUCAUGCACACAUUUUAUAAAGUUGUAUCCACUCAAGCUUGACUUUAUGUGUAUUUGUAGAACUGUUUUAUGGGGUAUAAUAAGAGCGGAGAGUCAUUCAGUGGACAGAACAACAUUAACUCAAAAGAGCACACUGCUCUGAGGUACUGUGUUCCAGGGGUUUCAAAUGGGCUCUCCAAGGCGCUGCUGAAAAAAAAAAAAAAAAAAGUUAAAAUUUACAGAAUUUUAUAUUAUCAUGGUUUCAUUCCGAUCUAAAUGGAUUGGUCGAACAUCAUAGAUUAAUCACAAAACACUUUCAUUCUAUUGACAGUUUGUUUCUUUUUAGUUUUAUACAUCUAAACAGUAUUCCAAUGGUCCUCCAUAAUUAUAGUCAACAGAAACAAAACUUUUUUGUAGCUUGAAAUUUAACUUGGUCAUUAAAUUGAUAGUGAAAUGAUUUAACUUAAAGGAUUAGUUCACUUUCAAAUGAAAAUUAGCCCAAGCUAAUUGGAAUCAAUUCAAUGGAAAGGAUUCCGUAAGAGAAGACAAUGCUGAAUAAAGUCGUAGUUUUUGUUAU
Molecule: RNA transcript, 2810 nt
Organism: Megalobrama amblycephala (Wuchang bream)
Lineage: Eukaryota; Metazoa; Chordata; Actinopteri; Cypriniformes; Xenocyprididae
Gene name: ankyrin repeat and SOCS box protein 1-like
Exons: 10
Source: RefSeq, a predicted model, not a curated record